RNAcentral lists this ribosomal RNA (253 nucleotides) under uncultured bacterium. RNAcentral describes it as "partial 16S ribosomal RNA". It matches the Rfam family "Bacterial small subunit ribosomal RNA", at positions 524 to 776 of the family's 1533-position model. The record is from RNAcentral.
UACGUAGGGGGCUAGCGUUGUCCGGAAUCAUUGGGCGUAAAGCGCGCGUAGGCGGCCCGGUAAGUCCGCUGUGAAAGUCAAAGGCUCAACCUUUGAAUGUCAGCGGAUACUGCCGGGCUAGAGUCCGGAAGAGGCGAGUGGAAUUCCUGGUGUAGCGGUGGAAUGCGCAGAUAUCAGGAGGAACACCAACGGCGAAGGCAGCUCGCUGGGUCGGUACUGACGCUGAGACGCGAAAGCGUGGGGAGCGAACAGG